CCUAACACAUGCAAGUCGAACGGUAACAGGUCUUCGGAUGCUGACGAGCGGCGAACGGGUGAGUAAUACAUCGGAACGUGCCCAAUCGUGGGGGAUAACACAUCGAAAGAUGUGCUAAUACCGCAUAAGAUCUACGGAUGAAAGCGGGGGAUCGCAAGACCUCGCGCGAAUGGAGCGGCCGAUGGCAGAUUAGGUAGUUGGUGGGGUAAAGGCCUACCAAGCCGACGAUCUGUAGCUGGUCUGAGAGGACGACCAGCCACACUGGGACUGAGACACGGCCCAGACUCCUACGGGAGGCAGCAGUGGGGAAUUUUGGACAAUGGGCGCAAGCCUGAUCCAGCAAUGCCGCGUGCAGGAUGAAGGCCUUCGGGUUGUAAACUGCUUUUGUACGGAGCGAAAAGGUUUUCUCUAAUACAGAAGGCCCAUGACGUACCGUAAGA
This 440-nucleotide ribosomal RNA is filed under the name uncultured bacterium. RNAcentral's name for it is "bacterial SSU rRNA". It matches the Rfam family "Bacterial small subunit ribosomal RNA", at positions 47 to 485 of the family's 1533-position model. The record is from RNAcentral.